UAGUGGCAGACGGGUGAGUAAUGUAUAGGAAUCUACCUAGUAGUACGGAAUAAUUGUUGGAAACGGCAACUAAUACCGUAUACGCCCUACGGGGGAAAAAUUUAUUGCUAUUAGAUGAGCCUAUAUUAGAUUAGCUAGUUGGUGGAGUAAUAGCCUACCAAGGCAAUGAUCUAUAGCUGAUCUGAGAGGAUGAUCAGCCACACUGGAACUGAGAUACGGUCCAGACUCCUACGGGAGGCAGCAGUGGGGAAUAUUGGACAAUGGGCGAAAGCCUGAUCCAGCCAUGCCGCAUGAGUGAAGAAGGCCUUUGGGUUGUAAAGCUCUUUUAGUGAGGAAGAUAAUGACGGUACUCACAGAAGAAGUCCUGGCUAACUCCGUGCCAGCAGCCGCGGUAAUACGGAGAGGGCUAGCGUUAUUCGGAAUUAUUGGGCGUAAAGGGCGCGUAGGCGGAUUAGUAAGUUAAAAGUGAAAUCCCAAGGCUCAACCUUGGAAUUGCUUUUAAAACUGCUAAUCUAGAGAUUGAAAGAGGAUAGAGGAAUUCCUAGUGUAGAGGUGAAAUUCGUAAAUAUUAGGAGGAACACCAGUGGCGAAGGCGUCUAUCUGGUUCAAAUCUGACGCUGAGGCGCGAAGGCGUGGGGAGCAAACAGGAUUAGAUACCCUGGUAGUCCACGCUGUAAACGAUGAAUGUUAAAUAUGGGAAGUUUUACUUUCUGUAUUACAGCUAACGCGUUAAACAUUCCGCCUGGGGACUACGGUCGCAAGAUUAAAACUCAAAGGAAUUGACGGGGACCCGCACAAGCGGUGAGCAUGUGGUUUAAUUCGAUGCAACGCGAAAAACCUUACCACUCCUUG
Molecule: ribosomal RNA, 852 nt
Filed under: Wolbachia endosymbiont of Sigara lateralis
Lineage: Bacteria; Pseudomonadati; Pseudomonadota; Alphaproteobacteria; Rickettsiales; Anaplasmataceae
Description: bacterial SSU rRNA
Rfam family: Bacterial small subunit ribosomal RNA
Source: RNAcentral